GACGAACGCUGGCGGCGUGCUUAACACAUGCAAGUCGAGCGGUAAGGCCUCUUCGGGGGUACACGAGCGGCGCACGGGUGAGUAACACGUGGGUGACCUGCCCUCAGCUCUGGGAUAAGCCUGGAAAACUGGGUCUAAUACCGGAUAUGACCACAUGUUGCAUGGUGUGUGGUGGAAAGUUUUUUCGGCUGGGGAUGGGCCCGCGGCCUAUCAGCUUGUUGGUGGGGUGAUGGCCUACCAAGGCGACGACGGGUAGCCGGCCUGAGAGGGCGACCGGCCACACUGGGACUGAGACACGGCCCAGACUCCUACGGGAGGCAGCAGUGGGGAAUAUUGCGCAAUGGGCGGAAGCCUGACGCAGCGACGCCGCGUGGGGGAUGACGGCCUUCGGGUUGUAAACCUCUUUCGACCGGGACGAAGCGUAAGUGACGGUACCGGUAGAAGAAGCACCGGCCAACUACGUG
Molecule: ribosomal RNA, 464 nt
Filed under: uncultured bacterium
Lineage: Bacteria
Description: partial 16S ribosomal RNA
Rfam family: Bacterial small subunit ribosomal RNA
Source: RNAcentral